Molecule: long non-coding RNA, 697 nt
Filed under: Mus musculus (house mouse)
Lineage: Eukaryota; Metazoa; Chordata; Mammalia; Rodentia; Muridae
Description: lincRNA-EC150
Source: RNAcentral
AAUAGAAAGAAGCAGGGGAAUUUCUGAGACACCUCUGCGAGUUCGUUAGGCAUGCAAGAUUAAACUCGAAUUCAUCUCGGCCCAGCCAGACGCAUUCAGAAACUGAAUUGCCAGGGAUUGAAUUUUCAGCCUCUCUGCGUUCACCAUGAAGAUGAGGGGGACCCAGACAAACAAGCAGCAAGCUGCUCAUCAGAGAACAGAGUCUAUGGCCCAAGGAAUCUUGACCAGCUUGGACUCAUCACAUGAAAACCUAGGGUGUACACAGCUCAACCGCCUGCUGUGAGUCGCCUAAAGUCAUGUCUUGUUUCCUCAGUUUCCUCACCUGUAAAUUGAAGAAAAUGACAGCAUGCCUGCUGCUGUCUGUUGUGGAGAACAAAUAAAUAGCUACUACAUAAGGAUAGCAGGGCUGCUGGUGUGUGGAGAAUGCUCACAGACUCCAUGGCAUAAGAUAAUUCAAGGACAGAAGAUCAAAAAGAGGAAGGACCUGGAAAAAGAAGAGAGAUUGAGGAGAAUGGAAACACUACCUCCUGAGGAGGUUCAGAAGAUCAGUGUGAGGCUCAGAAAACUCCAGAAACUAUAAACUUAAAAGGACCAGCCCUGAAGCUACAGAAACAAGCAUCACUUGCUAGGGGAGAAGAGACUUUCCCUGAGCUGUCUGCAAGUAGACAGGAACUCCAGGGAUACAGCUUUCUGGGUG